Ornithorhynchus anatinus (platypus) is the source of this 138-nucleotide small nucleolar RNA. The record is from RefSeq and is a predicted model, not a curated record. Lineage: Eukaryota; Metazoa; Chordata; Mammalia; Monotremata; Ornithorhynchidae.
ACUCUCUCAGGGUCGCACCUGGAGAGUUUCCAGAACUCUAUCAAUCUUGAUUACAGAAGGGAGAGGCAUGCAGAGGUAUACCCAUUCCAUUCCUAGCGUGGUCAGUGGCUAGUGAGUGGAAGGCAACCUGCUACAAGU